GGUGCAUCGAUACAUAAAUCCAGCUGAAAAAGAAGGUGUUGUUCUGAAAAAAAGAAUGAAUACAAUUCUGAAAAAGCGAGGAUUCGAUGCAGAUUAUGAUCAAUUGAAAAAGAAUAAUAAACCUGGAGAUGUACUACUUUCAUCAUCAACUGGAGCAAUUCUUAUUGAUUUAACACCAUGUCCAACGAAUAUAAAUAAGCGAAGUGGAUCUAAAAAACCAUAUUUAUUAAAUCCUAUGGUAAAAAAUUAAAAUUUGUAGUUUCUCAGAAACCUGAUUCAUUUUCAAUUUCCAGGGAAAAACCACUGUCGCUGUAUUGAACGAAUUUGUGCAGCGACUUGCAAAAGGGACACUUUUGUAUGAAAUUGAAGAUACUCGUAAUAUUCAUUGCCCGUACAAAGCAACUGCUCUUCUUACAAUGAAAAUGUGCACACUCCGUGAAAUGGCUGGUCAAUGUAAAGAAAGUCUUGUGGUUCUUAGUGAGAUUGCAGCGAAUGAUGAGAACAGUACGACGUAUUCACAAGGUCUUCUGCCUGAUUUGA
Molecule: small RNA, 540 nt
Filed under: Caenorhabditis elegans
Lineage: Eukaryota; Metazoa; Nematoda; Chromadorea; Rhabditida; Rhabditidae
Description: Unclassified non-coding RNA T22A3.14
Source: RNAcentral